CAGAGUGUAGUUAAAAUAGAAUAACACUUCCCUUACACUGAAGAGACACCCGUGCAAAUCGGAUCACCCUGA
RNAcentral lists this transfer RNA (72 nucleotides) under Sebastiscus marmoratus (false kelpfish). RNAcentral's name for it is "tRNA-Val". It matches the Rfam family "tRNA". From Rfam's summary of the family: Transfer RNA (tRNA) molecules are approximately 80 nucleotides in length. RNAcentral also lists the same sequence under 68 other names. The record is from RNAcentral. Lineage: Eukaryota; Metazoa; Chordata; Actinopteri; Perciformes; Sebastidae.